UAAAGACAGAAAGAUGAACCUGAAAGACGUCUCACAAGUGGAGACACAGAAAUGAGAGACUGAGGGUGAGGAAGUGUGUGUGUGUGUGUGUGUGUGUGUGUGUGUGUGUGUGUGGAGACCUUCCAGGCAGGGCAUCCUCAGCCCCCCUCUGUCCGCAGGGCAUGCAGGCUGCCCACAGACCUUGGCCUGGUACUCGGCC
Molecule: long non-coding RNA, 199 nt
Organism: Herpailurus yagouaroundi (jaguarundi)
Lineage: Eukaryota; Metazoa; Chordata; Mammalia; Carnivora; Felidae
Exons: 3
Source: RefSeq, a predicted model, not a curated record